AUCUUCGUCUCGCUGUUGAUUCUUCUCUAAAAUGAUCGCAGACGCACAUCAGACAUUCAGGAUCCGGUACCUGGAGGCUGACGCUCUGAAACUCGACGAUGUCAUUUGGAUGUAAAUAGGUUACACCCGUGGACAGAGACGACCCAGAAAGAUAGCUUUAACUGACCUUCCUGAAGCUUUAGUUAUUAUUUUGUUAAGCCAAUCACCAUGGAUCUGUCAUUUAUGGCUGCGCAGAUCCCGGUGAUGACAGGAGCCUUCAUGGACUCGUCGCCUCACGAUGACUACAGCACGGAUCACUCUCUCUUCAACUCCUCCGCAAGUGUCCACGCCGCCGCUCUGGCUGCUCACAGCCAGCAGGAGGAGCAGCAGCCCUUGUCCCGGGACGCCAUUUGGCUGUGGAUCGCUAUUACUGCCACCAUCGGCAACAUCGUAGUGGUCGGAGUUGUCUACGCCUUUACGUUCUGAUCUGUGCAAAUGAAAUGAACUUUGGAGGCUUCAUAUUUGAGUCUCCCAAAAUAAGGAACUCGAGGGCCUCAUUAAACGAACACUGCGCAUUUUUUUACGAAAAAAAAAAAAAAAAUGUGCGCAGUCUUAGUUGUUAAUUUGUUCAUUUUAUUAACACAGAAGGGUAUUUAGAAACUAUAUUUUGAUUAAUUGAUGUUUUCAUGAUGGUAACUUUUUAACUAGAUUGUUUAUUGCUAAACGAAAAAAAAACAACAACACAUCUCUUGUUUUCAGACUAUAGUGACUUAUACUGCCAAACAAUUUGUACGUGUUUUGCUUUUAGUAUGUGAUAUCGAUGAUGUUGUAAAGCUUUAAAUCUCUAGAGGGCAAAUGCUGGUCUCUGAAAGUCAUCCAACUACCUUUAUAGAGCGGCGAUUAGGAAGUUGAAAUGAAUCCUGAAUCUAAUUUGGUUAAGUAACCAUAAAAUAAAGUUCAUCAGUAUGUAAGUGCAGAGAACAAGACACUUUAUCAGAAACAUAUAGCUAGCUAAGCACUUAUAAUUGUAUUAAAUCAUGGGGCAUUUCUUUAUUAAAUCAUGGUUGAUUUGUUUAUUUAUUUACAUAUUGCCCCAAUACACAUCAAUUUGAAGACAAUCUCUUAUAAUUCUCCACAGUGGAGCUUAAUAACCCUGGGUCACUCUAACCCCUGUAACCUCUAAACUGAAUCUUUAGGUUUUAUAAUGAUUAUAGUUUACUUGGGGUCAACAAUGAAUCCUGGGUAUACUUACAAUGACGUUUCACAUUGUACAUACAGCAUACAACCCUGGGUUAACAUCUUUAUUUGCAUAUUUGCUGUGUCAGUGUCACUCAUUGGACAGACACGUCAUGCAACCAGAAACAUAGUAUAUUAUAUAUUGCCAACUGCAGUUAGCAUUAUAAUAGACUAUAAUGGUAAAAAUGAGACAGCCUCUUCCUUAUUUCAUUUAGUGUAUGAAAGCCAGUACAAACACUAAAUGACUGUGUACUGAUCCAGCAGGCACAGGACGUCAACAUGACAUUGUACCCCAACGCCAUGUGACGUUGCAUUUUG
This 1533-nucleotide long non-coding RNA is filed under the name Danio rerio (zebrafish). RNAcentral's name for it is "lncRNA cr556696 (ENSDARG00000096558.2)". The record is from RNAcentral. Lineage: Eukaryota; Metazoa; Chordata; Actinopteri; Cypriniformes; Danionidae.